Molecule: long non-coding RNA, 441 nt
Filed under: Zostera marina
Lineage: Eukaryota; Viridiplantae; Streptophyta; Magnoliopsida; Alismatales; Zosteraceae
Description: long non-coding RNA (ZMAR_LNC003674)
Source: RNAcentral
UCGCUUUGGCCUUAAUGAUCUCGACCCACUUUGUCGCUUUGGCCUUGGUGGGGUAAUCGUCGUUGCGGACGUAAAGUCGCUCUUGAUUAGGGUGGACUAUAAACAUCAGUUCUGAUAGUGAACUAGAUCCUGUCGCUUUGGCCAGGAUCCACGCAUUCUAUCGCUUUGGCCAGAAUCAGGCUCUGAUAGUGGAUGAGAAUUAUUUUGUCGCUUUGGCCUUAAUAAUCUCCUCUCAUCUUGUCUCUUUGGCCUUGAUGAUAACACAGAAAAAGUCGCUCCUGAUCAGAGUUUGAUUAUAAACAUGUAGUUCCAUUGGCCUGGAACUAGAUUCUAAUAGUGAAUCAUUCCAUUUGAUAGUGCAUGGAUAACAGAGUCAUUGUGUCGCUGUGGCCGCAAUGAUUCGAUCCCAUCUUGUCGCUUUGGCCUUGACGCGGAUCACCU